Molecule: ribosomal RNA, 253 nt
Filed under: uncultured bacterium
Lineage: Bacteria
Description: partial 16S ribosomal RNA
Rfam family: Bacterial small subunit ribosomal RNA
Source: RNAcentral
UACGUGGGGGGCAAGCGUUGUUCGGAAUUACUGGGCGUAAAGGGCUCGUAGGCGGCCAACUAAGUCAGACGUGAAAUCCCUCGGCUUAACCGGGGAACUGCGUCUGAUACUGGAUGGCUUGAGUGUGGGAGAGGGAUGCGGAAUUCCAGGUGUAGCGGUGAAAUGCGUAGAUAUCUGGAGGAACACCGGUGGCGAAGGCGGCAUCCUGGACCACGACUGACGCUGAGGCGCGAAAGCUAGGGUAGCAAACGGG